Molecule: ribosomal RNA, 240 nt
Filed under: uncultured bacterium
Lineage: Bacteria
Description: partial 16S ribosomal RNA
Rfam family: Bacterial small subunit ribosomal RNA
Source: RNAcentral
AGCGUUGUCCGGAAUUAUUGGGCGUAAAGAGCUCGUAGGCGGUCUGUCGCGUCCGUUGUGAAAACUCGAGGCUCAACCUCGGGCUUGCAGUGGAUACGGGCAGACUAGAGUGCGGUAGGGGAGACUGGAAUUCCUGGUGUAGCGGUGGAAUGCGCAGAUAUCAGGAGGAACACCGAUGGCGAAGGCAGGUCUCUGGGCCGCAACUGACGCUGAGGAGCGAAAGCAUGGGGAGCGAACAGG